Long non-coding RNA from Bactrocera tryoni, 426 nucleotides. RefSeq lists it as uncharacterized. The record is from RefSeq and is a predicted model, not a curated record. Lineage: Eukaryota; Metazoa; Arthropoda; Insecta; Diptera; Tephritidae. The transcript has 3 exons.
CGGUUACAACUCGUGUCGAGUUCGGCGCUGUUGUCGACGUACACUAUAACCGCGACGUUGACAGUGACAGUGGCUGUUGCCGCUAAUAUUGUUACUUUUACAAUACUUUUGGGGCUACCACUAUUGGGUUUGUCGUUGUCCACAUGAAAACCAACGGCGACGUUAGCUAUGUGACGACGAUGCAUAGUGUGCAACAACGGACAUGGAGAACAGUCAUGUGGCAUAGCACGGCGCUGCCACAAGCAUUGCUGUUAUGUAGACACAAUUACUGGACCGGUAUAGCAAUGAAAAUUUUAUAUAUUUGUAAUCAAAUUUCGUGUGCCUAAAUGUUGCGAAGGUUGGAAAGGAUUACGGUGAUUUAGUUUUAUCAAAAACACAAGGCUAGGAGUGGUACAAAGCCUUCAAAGACGGUCGAAAGAUCGUUGA